This 253-nucleotide ribosomal RNA is filed under the name uncultured bacterium. RNAcentral's name for it is "partial 16S ribosomal RNA". It matches the Rfam family "Bacterial small subunit ribosomal RNA", at positions 524 to 776 of the family's 1533-position model. The record is from RNAcentral.
UACGUAGGCAGCAAGCGUUGUUCGGAAUUACUGGGCGUAAAGCGUGUGUAGGCGGCCGCGUAAGUCGGAUGUGAAAGCCCUGGGCUCAACCCAGGAAGUGCACUCGAUACUGCGUGGCUUGAGUACUGGAGAGGUUGGUGGAAUUCUCGGUGUAGAGGUGAAAUUCGUAGAUAUCGAGAGGAACACCGGUGGCGAAGGCGGCCAACUGGACAGAUACUGACGCUGAGACACGAAAGCGUGGGGAGCAAACAGG